AUGGACAAGCGGCCUGGACGGUGGCCACACGUGCGGCUCCCUCGUCCAAGUGGCCUGUGGGUCUGUCCGUGUGUCCGUGUCCCAGGGCGCACCCUCCACAGGUGCCAAGUCCAGGCUUUGCCGAAUACCGACCUACGUUUGCUCUCCCCAGGCCAGGGCCCGCUCCGCAGCACCGUGUCCCGAACCCGCACAGCUCACCUGCCCGAGGCUCUGCUGCCUUGGGGUACAGGGGGGCCCAGAAGUCUCCCCGGACCGGGCUCGGCGCGCCGGCUCCGCAGGUUCGGCUCGGUCCUCCGCGGGGCUCCCCGCCGCCCGCAGCCCGGCCCGCGGGGACCCAGCGCUCACCUGGGCUGCGGCCUGCGCGACCUGGGCCCCGGGCGGGGCGGCCUCGGGGCGGCGGCCCUCACCGCACGCUCCCACCUGCGCGUCGGGCCGCGGAGGGCUGGCCCCGGACUGGCCGGCGGAGGCGGCGCCGGGAGGGCAGGGCGGGGCGGGAGGGAGGGAAGGAGCGGGGAGGGAAGGAGGGGGGAGCGGGGAGGGAAGAGCGGGGAGGGAAGGAGCGGGGAGGGGGGCAGGGAGGGGGGAGCGGGGAGGGAGGGAAAGGGCGGGAGGGGGAAAGGAAGGAGUGGGGAGGAGGAGGGAGGGAGCGGAGAGGUAGGGAGGGAAGGAGUGGAGGGGGGAGCAGAGAGGGAGGGAAGGGGCGGGAGGGGGGAGGGAAGGAAUGGGGAGGGGGAGCGGGGAGGGAGGGAAGGGGCGGGAGGGGGGAAGGAAGGAGUGGGGAGGGGGGAGCAGGGAGGGAGGGAAGGGGCGGGAGGGAGGAGGGAAGGAAUGGGGAGGGGGAGCGGGGAGAGAGGGAGCGGGAGAGAGGGAGCGGGGAGGGAGGGAGCGGAGAGAGGGAGCGGGAGGGAGGGAGCGGGGAGGGGGGAGCGGGGAGAGAGGGAGCGGGAGAGAGGGAGCGGGGAGGGGGGAGCGGGGAGGGAGGGAGCGGGAGGGAGGGAGUGGGAGGGAGGGAGCGGGGAGGGAGGGAGGGGAGCGGGGAGGGAGGGAGGGAAGGACGGGGAGGGAGCCCGACCUGGCCGCCUCGGGGACCGAGCGCGCCCGGAAUCCGGGGAGAAGGAGCGCCCGCCCUCCUGGGCGCGCAGCCUUGGGACGUGGGGGGCGGCGGCGAGGGGCUCCGGGGUGCGCGCGAGGGCUCAGCCGGUCCCUCUGGGCGCCCGACCCGGGUGCGGGGGGCGCAGCGCCCGCUGGGGCCCGGCGACCGGGCGGGUGGGGCCCUCCUGCGGCCCCGGGGACCCCGCGGCCGAGCCCGGGGCAGGCCGGCUCCAGCGCCGCCGCAGGCCCUCGCGGGGCCGCCCCCCUCUCCGCGCCGGGCCCCCCUGCGGCCCCCGGGUGCCCGCACAGCCCAGCCGGCCGCGGCUCCCCUUCCCGGAGCCCGGAGCCUUGGGAUGGGCUCACCUGGCGCCGCGUUACCUGGAACCUGCCGGCCCGCAGCAGAGGUCGGGGCGCCGUGGCGGGGAGUCGGGGCCCAGCCCGGUGCACCUGCGCGGGGGGGGGGGGGGGGCGCGGUGA
Molecule: long non-coding RNA, 1569 nt
Filed under: Canis lupus familiaris (dog)
Lineage: Eukaryota; Metazoa; Chordata; Mammalia; Carnivora; Canidae
Description: lncRNA (ENSCAFG00040006261.1)
Source: RNAcentral